CAAGAAGAGCAGGGGAACCCAGAGGGCUCUUGGAGGGAAGGUCAGAAGCACCAGAAUUGUUUUGACCCAGUGACUUUGAAAUCAAAUAAAAAGGAAUGGCACACACUGUGAAGUGCAGCAUCAAAAUCACAUAGAAUGAGGCUUCGAAAGGCCACCGGACUUUUUGGUGGAGGUUAUGGUGACAUUUGGAGAAAAUUUUCCAUAGAGUUGUUAGGAAAGCACGGGCGAUUUCAAAGAGAGGGAGAGGAGCAGCAAUGACGUGAUGAGGACUUGCGGCUAGCAUGUUCCAAGAGUUUCCUUGUGAAAAGGAAAAAAUCAGGACCUCUGGUACAGCAAGGUCAAAUCAAGGAUUUAAGAAGGCAAGAGCUUCACCUGUGUUUGCUGAGAGCGGAGGGGACUUUGGCGGCGUUGGAUAGACUUGGCACAGACACACAAGCAAAGCAGGGCCGCGACGAUGCCGGGCUGUGCGCACUAGAUGGCAGCAGCGGGGCCCUUUCGGCUCGGUUCGCGGUCCUAUAAGGCGCUGCUUGUUUAAGUACAUCGCAUUUAGUUGAAGCUGCAGGGGAGUGAGGGAGAGGAGGAGAGGAAGGAGGAAAGCGGGAGAGCUCGAGGGACGAGGGGGCUCGGUGUGUUUACACCAGGCACGGGCUACGAGCGUCCAUCCCGGCCCCUGGCUCGCGCUCCCGAAGAGGAGAACAAGGCUGUCCUGGGAUCCGGCCGUCGUGCGGCAGGAGGCUCGUCUGUCCGGGUUGCCGGAGCCGGGAGAGCCCAGAGGGAAACCGAGGGAAACGAGCGGCGCGUUUUACUAGAGAGAGCGCGAGCGGAAGCGGCGAGAGCAGGAGCGCGCGAGGGAGCGUCGAGCGCGGCGGAGACAUGAGGACCUACUGGCUGCACAGCGUCUGGGUGCUGGGCUUUUUCCUGUCCCUCUUCUCACUGCAAGAUCACCUAGCUCCUGACUGCUCAUGGCAGACCUUAAGAAGACACUGAAGAGAGGCAUGCCGGGCACAUAAACAGCAUAGCCAGAUA
This 1026-nucleotide long non-coding RNA is filed under the name Callithrix jacchus (white-tufted-ear marmoset). RNAcentral's name for it is "lncRNA (ENSCJAG00000072525.1)". Lineage: Eukaryota; Metazoa; Chordata; Mammalia; Primates; Cebidae. The record is from RNAcentral.